This 3059-nucleotide ribosomal RNA is filed under the name Ruminococcus sp. AF21-42. RNAcentral describes it as "23S ribosomal RNA". It matches the Rfam family "Bacterial large subunit ribosomal RNA". Lineage: Bacteria; Bacillati; Bacillota; Clostridia; Eubacteriales; Oscillospiraceae. The record is from RNAcentral.
AGGUCAAGCAAUAAGGGCACAGGGCGGAUGCCUUGGCACUAAGAGCCGAUGAAAGACGUGAUAAGCUGCGAUAAGCUUCGGGGAGGAGCAAAUAUCCCGUGAUCCGGAGAUGUCUGAAUGGGGAAACCCACAUGAGCAAACCUCAUGUAUCCUACAGCCAAUACAUAACUGUAGGAAGGGAACCCGGGGAACUGAAACAUCUAAGUACCCGGAGGAAAAGAAAGAAAACUCGAUUCCGUAAGUAGCGGCGAGCGAACGCGGAGGAGCCUAAACCGGAAUGCGUGCAUUCCGGGGUUACGGACUGCAUUUAAGAUUCUUUGAAGCUAACAGAACGGUUUUGGGAAAACCGGCCAGAGAGGGUGAAAGCCCCGUACGUGAAAGCCGAUGAGACUGAGCAGGAUCCAGAGUACCACGAGACACGUGGAACCUUGUGGGAAAUCAGGGGGACCACCCCCUAAGGCUAAAUACUACUUAGUGACCGAUAGCGCAUAGUACUGUGAAGGAAAGGUGAAAAGGACCCCGGGAGGGGAGUGAAAGAGAACCUGAAACCCUGUGUCUACAAGCUGUGGAAGCACUUUAUAUGUGCAACCGCGUACUUUUUGUAGAACGGUCCGGCGAGUUACGCUUACUGGCAAGGUUAAGCACUUCAGGUGCGGAGCCGUAGGGAAACCAAGUCUUAAUAGGGCCAGAGUCAGUAGGAGUAGACCCGAAACCGGGUGAUCUAUCCAUGUCCAGGUUGAAGCUGCCGUAAGAGGUAGUGGAGGACCGAACCCACAUCCGUUGAAAAGGGUGGGGAUGAGGUGUGGAUAGGGGAGAAAUUCCAAUCGAACCCGGAGAUAGCUGGUUCUCCUCGAAAUAGCUUUAGGGCUAGCCUCGAUACAGAUUUGCGGAGGUAGAGCACUGAAUUUCCUAGGGGGCGUCAAAGCCUACCGAAGAAUAUCAAACUCCGAAUGCCGCGUAAUCGAUUAUCGGGAGUCAGACUGCACGAGAUAAGUUGGGCGGUCAAAAGGGAAAGAGCCCAGACCUUCAGUUAAGGUCCCAAAGUGUGCGUUAAGUGGAAAAGGAUGUGGGAUUUCGAAGACAACCAGGAUGUUGGCUCAGAAGCAGCCAUCCAUUCAAAGAGUGCGUAAUAGCUCACUGGUCGAGAGGUCCUGCGCCGAAAAUGUCCGGGGCUGAAACGCGCCACCGAAACUAAGGAACCGAAAGGUUGGUAGAGGAGCAUUGCAUGCGGGAAGAAGCAGUACCGAAAGGAGCUGUGGACUGCAUGGAAGAGAGAAUGCCGGAAUGAGUAGCGAGAUAGAGGUGGGAAUCCUCUAGGCCGAAUAUCCAAGGUUUCCAGAGUAAAGCUGAUCUGCUCUGGGUAAGUCGGGGCCUAAGGCGAGGACGAGAGUCGUAGCCGAUGGACAACAGGUGGAGAUUCCUGUACUGCGGUAUGACAGAACUGUGGGGACACGUAAGGAAAGCGGAAGCCGGGGAUGGAUUGUCCCGGUGCAAGCGGGGUACCAGCUACUUUGGCAAAUCCGGGUGGCAAUGGGAAGCCGUGAUGCGGAGUGAAANNNNNNNNNNAAUGGAGAGCCCGGUGCAAGCGGGGUACCAGCCACUUUGGCAAAUCCGGGUGGCAAUGGGAAGCCGUGAUGCGGAGUGAAAUAAAGUAACGAAGUCCGUGAGCCAUGCGUCAAGAAAAGCCGCUAUUGUUUAUACCGUACCCGUACCGUAAACCGACACAGGUGGAUGAGGAGAGAAUCCUAAGGCCGGCGGAAGAAGCAUUGUCAAGGAACUCGGCAAAAUGGCCCCGUAACUUAGGGAUAAGGGGUGCCUCAGAAAUGAGGCCGCAGAGAAUAGGCUCAAGCAACUGUUUAGCAAAAACACAGGUCUAUGCGAAACCGAAAGGUGAGGUAUAUGGGCUGACGCCUGCCCGGUGCUGGAAGGUUAAGAGGAGAGGUUAGCGCAAGCGAAGCUUUGAAUUUAAGCCCCAGUAAACGGCGGCCGUAACUAUAACGGUCCUAAGGUAGCGAAAUUCCUUGUCGGGUAAGUUCCGACCCGCACGAAAGGCGUAAUGAUUUGAGCGCUGUCUCGACAAUGCAUCCGGUGAAAUUGAAGUACCAGUGAAGAUGCUGGUUACCUGCGCCAGGACGGAAAGACCCCAUGGAGCUUUACUCCAGUUUGGUACUGGGACUCGGUAUUGCAUGUACAGGAUAGGUGGGAGGCUGAGAGACAGUAACGCCAGUUAUUGUGGAGCCGCUGUUGGGAUACCACCCUUGCAGUAUUGGGUUUCUAACCANNNNNNNNNNAGGAGAUAGUAACGCCAGUUAUUAUGGAGCCGCUGUUGGGAUACCACCCUUGCAGUAUUGGGUUUCUAACCAGCCGCCGUGACCCGGCGGUGGGACAAUGCCAGACGGGGAGUUUGACUGGGGCGGUCGCCUCCGAAAGGGUAUCGGAGGCGCCCAAAGGUUCCCUCAGAAUGGACGGAAACCAUUCGAAGAGUGCAAAGGCAGAAGGGAGCUUGACUGCGACACCGACGGGUGGAGCAGGUACGAAAGUAGGGCUUAGUGAUCCGGUGGUAUUAAGUGGGAAUGCCAUCGCUCAACGGAUAAAAGCUACCCUGGGGAUAACAGGCUUAUCACUCCCAAGAGUUCACAUCGACGGAGUGGUUUGGCACCUCGAUGUCGGCUCAUCGCAUCCUGGGGCUGUAGUAGGUCCCAAGGGUUGGGCUGUUCGCCCAUUAAAGCGGUACGCGAGCUGGGUUCAGAACGUCGUGAGACAGUUCGGUCCCUAUCCGGCGUGGGCGUAGGAUAUCUGAGAGGAGCUGUCCUUAGUACGAGAGGACCGGGAUGGACGGGCCGCUGGUGCAUCGGUUAGACUGCCAAGUCUACGGCCGAGUAGCCAAGCCCGGAAGGGAUAAACGCUGAAGGCAUCUAAGCGUGAAGCCCCCCUUAAGAUGAGAUAUCCCAUUCGAAAGAAGUAAACCCCCUUGAAGACGACGAGGUAGAUAGGGCAGAGGUGGAAGUGCAGUAAUGCAUGGAGCUGACUGUUACUAAUCGGGUGAGGGCUUGACCAAG